This 2097-nucleotide long non-coding RNA is filed under the name Homo sapiens (human). RNAcentral describes it as "HSALNT0210674". Lineage: Eukaryota; Metazoa; Chordata; Mammalia; Primates; Hominidae. The record is from RNAcentral.
AUUUACAAGAACCAAAUUGAUUUUUUUUUCUUACAAAAGUCAGGCAACUUCCAAAUUAAGUCACUUUUUACCAUAUACCCUGGAGAAUAACAUGGCCCGACACACCACACGUCCCACUUAUCUAGUUCAAGCGAGUAACAUAACGUGAGAAACUGCACUGUGUAAUUCCUUUAUUUUCUGCAUAUUAGUGCUUUACCAACACUACAACCAUAAAGAACACAAUUCCAAGUACUGUACUUUUUAGUUUGGGGAGAUCACAGUCUACAGACUCAUUUACUUAUAUUAAACAAGAUUAACCUCAUUCAAAACUUACUGCAGUUUAUUUAAGAUUUAACAUGAGGGUUUCAAGUUUCCUCCAGUUUAGGCAUUUAUACCUUUGUGCUUGUUUUGUUUCAGGAUGUUACUAUAGCAUUGAUAUUGGAUAACCCAUAUUUAUAUACUUUAAAAUGCAAUCAUUUGAAACACUAAAAAUUACAUUUAUGGUGGAGCUUUGGAAAUUUUAGAAAGCAACCAGUGUUCUUAGAUGUGUUUAUCAGCCUCAUUUCUAGAGCUCUUUCUACUAAAGUGAAACUGAGAACUUCGUACUUUAGUUGUAUCCUGAAAUCAAAAAAAUCCCUCUGCACCAACAGGAGCCUACAUGAGAAUACCCUUUUGCAUCUGCUUUAAGUAAAAUGUUUGUUAAGAGUUUUACUUUGAAUAGUUCAUUUUUUUAUAGUCUUACACUUCUCAUACAUCUUUGGUAAAAGCUCCAUUAUACAAUAUGGCCAAAGUGUGAAGGACCAAUACUGUCCAACUAUACCAUGAUAUCCCGCUCAAUUUUAGUUUUCAGACACCCUCAUAAACAAAACCCACUCCACCUUUUCCUGUAUACUGCCUUUGCAGUCUACAUUUCUGAAAUUCCCUAUUUAAUUCCUUGAGGAUCACUAAAAUUAAUCCUUAAGGCUAUAUAGGAACCAGAUGCUGCUUUACAAUUCUGCAUCAAGCAUUAACAUUUGGUUCAAAAUAUUAUCAUAGUGGUCGCAAUCCAGUUACUGGUCCUAACCAGCUAACCAAGUAAUCUUGUUAGGAUCUGGAUAUCACCAGCGAGCACACUGCUUACACAUGAAGAAAAAUAAGUUUACAUUCAUUGUCAUCUGUAGGUUCUUUCUCUUCAUCCUACGUCCCCUUUAAUAGUCAUCCCUCAAGUCUACACAUCAUUCAUUCAUCACGCUUCCUUCCUUAAAGGAGACAGUGUACUAUUGAACCAACAGGAUAUCUUUUUUAUUAUUUGCAUGAGUUAAUCCUACAAACAAAAUUAAAUACCUCUUUUAUAAAACAUCUUUUCCAGUGUUCUAAUUGAUGGAGAUGCGGAUCACUCAUCUAUAAAAAAUGACUUACAGCUUCAGCUUAAUCAGUUGCUAUAAUGUGAAAACAGGAAUGUGUAUUUUUUUCAACUAGGUAAAAGGUGCAUAUAAUUUGAAUUGUUAAAUGUUUUAUUAAUGAACAAAGUAAACCUUUUAGUAAUUUUUAAAUUACUGGUCUUAGGUGUUUGAAACAAGGUAAAAGUAUACAUUCCAGUUUUGCCCAAAAGUCACUUAAAAUAUCUACAAAUUAUUUAAUCUGUGUGUGGUAACACCAUUAUUGCUCCAAUUUCUGGAAAGAGUCUAUUUUCAAAGUUUAAAAAAGAGGAAAAACAGCAAAGUGGCUAACUUUGCAGUGGAAAGAAAAAGUGUCCUUCAUGGGUUACACUUUCAUAUUUUUAUGCAGCAUUAAGUUAUCUACGUUAUGGGGAACUUGGGUUUUAUUCCUACUCAUGCAUGAUGUGUUUCAGAACUUACUUGCUGACAUUUCAGAGAACUUCUUACAUUACCUGUUUAACAUACUGAGGUGCAACUGGAACAUAUUACAAUAUUACUCAUUAUUUGCCACUGUGGGCUAAGUUUACUAUACUGGUCUUAGAUAUAAAAGGUCACAUUUGAAAUUACUAAGUUAGAACUCAUAAGGAAGGGGGGGGAAGGCCUUAAAUAUAAAAGACAAACGGCAGUUUGAUUAAGCAAUAAUUUUCAGUUUACUAGAUGAAACAGACUUGCAACAUAGUCUGCAUGAAUGCAAAAUAAG